CCUGCAACCUCUCGGUUCCUAGUUGGAUUUGCUAACCACCGAGCCCCGAGGAGAGCUCUAGGUAUGCUGUUUUUAAUUCUAACAUUUCACUGAUCCCCCCCCCAACCCAAAUAAUUUCUGCCUCGUGGAUGUUAUAAAACUCAGAGGCAAAACUGCCUCUUAGGAGCAUUCCCACAGUACCUCUACCACUGCCUAGAAGCUAAAACGUUGAACGAAGUUUGGGGCUGAGAAGGGAGGAACACUUGACAGAAAUGAGCCUUUUAUUUUAAUAUUUAUCAUUCUGUUUCAAUCACAGGCAUGGCUAAUCAUUCUACAAGGAAUAGAUCUUAUAGGAGCAGCGCAGACUGGAACAGGAGAGACAUUGUCCUACUUCAUGUCUGGAUUUAUUCGUUAUUUUCUGAAGACAAGGAGCGUGCCACACGGGGCUCGUUCUGCGGACCAGAUGCAAGGGUGGGCUCCGGGGCCUCAGGCCACGAGGCGUUUCCUCCAGAGCGAGGGCUGGCGGUGCUGAGAGCCGGAGGCGCGGGGUUGAGCACGCGCGGCCGUAAUGGGGCGCCGCCCCGGCCUCUUGUGCCUCGAGAGACGUGGAGGUCCUGCGCGCCGCCUUCCUCGCCUCGAGGCCCGGCGUGGAGAAGGGGCCUGAGAGGGAAGUGGGAGGGAGAGCCUCGGAGUGCAAGUCCUCUGCAGCGACGCGCCUGUCCGUGUCCAGAAAAGGCCUGUGAAGUGAAGCGACUCGCUGCUGCGCCUCUAAAAGCGAGGUUCUUUGUGAGUUGGUGCUGCUGCUUUGUUUCCGUGAAAUGCGUUAGGUUUUCGGGAGAGGGGAUUUUUAAAUUUCUUUCCCUUGGAAUGUCCUGCUUGAGAAUGCUGUGCUUACUGAUUUGGGCCUUAGGAUUUCCGCACCCAAUUAGAGGCAGGGGCCUGAUGUAUAGAUGCCCCUUUUCUGGUGCCCACUUAAUGCAGUUAUACUGUGAGGAAAAGCAGAACAAAGGAUACUCAUCUCUUACUCCCCAAGCAAGAAAUUUUUUCCAUCAUUAGUUCAGGUCAGUCUAGAGAUUCAGCUGCAACUGAUUAAAAUCAGACUCUGGAGUUCCCAUUGUGGCUCAGUGAUUAGGAAAUCUAACUAGGGAUCAUGAGGUUGCGGGUUUGAUCCCUGGCCUCGCUCAGUGGGUUAAGGAUCCGGUGUUGCUGUGAGCUCUGGUGUAGGUCACAGACUCGGCUCAGAUCUGGCAUUGCUGUGGCUGUGGUGUAGGCCAGCAGCUACAGCUCUGAUUAGACCCCUAGCCUGGGAACCUCCAUACGCUGUGUGCACAGCCCUAGAAAAGACAAAAAGAAUUUAAAAAUAAAAUCAGACUGCUUGUUAAGUUACA
RNAcentral lists this long non-coding RNA (1367 nucleotides) under Sus scrofa (pig). RNAcentral's name for it is "lncRNA (ENSSSCG00035061512.1)". The record is from RNAcentral. Lineage: Eukaryota; Metazoa; Chordata; Mammalia; Artiodactyla; Suidae.